AUUGAACGCUGGCGGCAGGCUUAACACAUGCAAGUCGAGCGGGGUGAUGGUGCUUGCACUAUCACUUAGCGGCGGACGGGUGAGUAAUGCUUAGGAAUCUGCCUAUUAGUGGGGGACAAUAUCUCGAAAGGGAUGCUAAUACCGCAUACGUCCUACGGGAGAAAGCAGGGGAUCACUUGUGACCUUGCGCUAAUAGAUGAGCCUAAGUCGGAUUAGCUAGUUGGUGGGGUAAGGGCCUACCAAGGCGACGAUCUGGAGCGGGUCUGCGAGAGUGAUCCGCCACACUGGGGCUGGGACACGGCCCAGGCGCCUACGGGAGGUAGCAGUGGGGAAUAUUGGACAAUGGGGGGAACCCUGAUCCAGCCAUGCCGCGUGUGUGAAGAAGGCCUUAUGGUUGUAAAGCACUUUAAGCGAGGAGGAGGCUCUUUUGGUUAAUACCCAAGAUGAGUGGACGUUACUCGCAGAAUAAGCACCGGCUAACUCUGUGCCAGCAGCCGCAGUAA
Molecule: ribosomal RNA, 503 nt
Filed under: uncultured bacterium
Lineage: Bacteria
Description: partial 16S ribosomal RNA
Rfam family: Bacterial small subunit ribosomal RNA
Source: RNAcentral